Molecule: small nuclear RNA, 108 nt
Organism: Rana temporaria (common frog)
Lineage: Eukaryota; Metazoa; Chordata; Amphibia; Anura; Ranidae
Source: RefSeq, a predicted model, not a curated record
GUGCUUGUUUUGGCAGGACGUAUACUAAAAUUGGAACGAUACAGAGAAGGAUAGCUCGGCACCUUCGCAAAGGAUGACACGCAAAUUUGUGAGGCGCUCCAUAUUUUU